RNAcentral lists this ribosomal RNA (253 nucleotides) under uncultured bacterium. Its description in RNAcentral is "partial 16S ribosomal RNA". It matches the Rfam family "Bacterial small subunit ribosomal RNA", at positions 524 to 776 of the family's 1533-position model. The record is from RNAcentral.
UACGUAGGGACCAAGCGUUGUUCGGAUUUACUGGGCGUAAAGGGCGCGUAGGCGGCUUGACAAGUCACUUGUGAAAUCUCCGGGCUUAACUCGGAACGGCCAAGUGAAACUGUCAUGCUAGAGUGCAGAAGGGGCACUCGGAAUUCUUGGUGUAGCGGUGAAAUGCGUAGAUAUCGAGAGGAACACCUGAGGUGAAGGCGGGUUGCUGGGCUGACACUGACGCUGAGGCGCGAAAGCCAGGGGAGCAAACGGG